Molecule: ribosomal RNA, 162 nt
Filed under: Klebsiella pneumoniae
Lineage: Bacteria; Pseudomonadati; Pseudomonadota; Gammaproteobacteria; Enterobacterales; Enterobacteriaceae
Description: partial 23S ribosomal RNA
Rfam family: Bacterial large subunit ribosomal RNA
Source: RNAcentral
CUAAGCACGAAACUUGCCCCGAGAUGAGUUCUCCCUGAGACUAUAAGUCUCCUGAAGGAACGUUAAAGACGAUGACGUUGAUAGGCCGGGUGUGUAAGCGCAGCGAUGCGUUGAGCUAACCGGUACUAAUGAACCGUGAGGCUUAACCUUACAACGCCGAAG